GAUGAACGCUGGCGGCGUGCCUAAUACAUGCAAGUCGAGCGAACAGAUGAGGAGCUUGCUCCUCUGACGUUAGCGGCGGAUGGGUGAGUAACACGUGGAUAACCUACCUAUAAGACUGGGAUAACUUCGGGAAACCGGAGCUAAUACCGGAUAAUAUAUUGAACCGCAUGGUUCAAUAGUGAAAGACGGUUUUGCUGUCACCUAUAGAUGGAUCCGCGCCGCAUUAGCUAGUUGGUAAGGUAACGGCUUACCAAGGCAACGAUGCGUAGCCGACCUGAGAGGGUGAUCGGCCACACUGGAACUGAGACACGGUCCAGACUCCUACGGGAGGCAGCAGUAGGGAAUCUUCCGCAAUGGGCGAAAGCCUGACGGAGCAACGCCGCGUGAGUGAUGAAGGUCUUCGGAUCGUAAAACUCUGUUAUUAGGGAAGAACAAAUGUGUAAGUAACUAUGCACGUCUUGACGGUACCUAAUCAGAAAGCCACGGCUAACUACGUG
This 497-nucleotide ribosomal RNA is filed under the name uncultured bacterium. RNAcentral describes it as "partial 16S ribosomal RNA". It matches the Rfam family "Bacterial small subunit ribosomal RNA", at positions 28 to 507 of the family's 1533-position model. The record is from RNAcentral.